Molecule: ribosomal RNA, 501 nt
Filed under: uncultured bacterium
Lineage: Bacteria
Description: partial 16S ribosomal RNA
Rfam family: Bacterial small subunit ribosomal RNA
Source: RNAcentral
AUUGAACGCUGGCGGCAGGCUUAACACAUGCAAGUCGAGCGGGGGAAGGUAGCUUGCUACUGGACCUAGCGGCGGACGGGUGAGUAAUGCUUAGGAAUCUGCCUAUUAGUGGGGGACAACAUCUCGAAAGGGAUGCUAAUACCGCAUACGUCCUACGGGAGAAAGCAGGGGAUCUUCGGACCUUGCGCUAAUAGAUGAGCCUAAGUCGGAUUAGCUAGUUGGUGGGGUAAAGGCCUACCAAGGCGACGAUCUGUAGCGGGUCUGAGAGGAUGAUCCGCCACCCUGGGACUGGGACACGGCCCAGACUCCUACGGGAGGCAGCAGUGGGGAAUAUUGGACAAUGGGGGGAACCCUGAUCCAGACAUGCCGCGUGUGUGAAGAAGGCCUUAUGGUUGUAAAGCACUUUAAGCGAGGAGGAGGCUACUCUAGUUAAUACCUAGGGAUAGUGGACGUUACUCGCAGAAUAAGCACCGGCUAACUCUGUGCCAGCAGCCGCCGUAA